Molecule: long non-coding RNA, 1631 nt
Filed under: Nicotiana benthamiana
Lineage: Eukaryota; Viridiplantae; Streptophyta; Magnoliopsida; Solanales; Solanaceae
Description: long non-coding RNA (NBEN_LNC024105)
Source: RNAcentral
UUAAAACAUGCCUCCAGUCACGUCACAUAAAUGCACCCGUGGUUCUUAACACAUUUCAGCUUCGUUGGGAUUUCGAUUUGGGUCACAUAAAUGUGCACCUGAAUUUAGGAAAAUAAUGUUAUUAAGCACGGACCUAGAAAAGAUACGCAUUAUUAACUUUGCGGGGGACAUGGAAUUUGCUAAAUGGCAUGCCUCUGAAUCUAAAUAUAAACCAAAUCAAUUUAAACGAGGGCCAUGCAUUUGAGAAUUUUGUUCGGCACGACACACCUCGAUUUAUUUUAAAAAUCACAACUAUUAUUUUUCUAAUGUUGAUAUUAUUACGAAGAGUUAUGGAUAUGAAUUGUGACAUACGGGUAAGCCUCAAACUGAUUUUAUCGUAAUUAAACAUUUUUCCAAAAUCGAACAAAUCACAGUCACGUCCAAUGAAUAAGCUAAAACAAAUGCUAACUAACACUCAAAAUGACGCCACUUAAUAUUACUAAAGAAAAAAAAAUAAAAAGAUACUACAUGAAACACCUUUUAUCAAACAAACUUUCCAUGAAAUAGUUGGCAAUUAACUCCAUGUGUAUACAUAAUCGGAUAAUACAAAUCGGAUAUCAAACAAUACGAAACGCACAGCAUCACACUUUCAACAAAGAAAUGGUGAAGUAGCUUCAACUGGGCUCCAACCAUGUGACAGAAUAUUUAACAAAACAGUAAGGUCCAAUAAUUGGCCCUGAACCACGAAAAUCGUGCGAUUAUCAGAAUUAUAUUCUACUCAUCACAUCUUGAUUGUAUUAAAAAAAUAUCAACAUUUAGAGCCGAAAUUUAAACAACGAACGGACCUCAAAUGGCGACAAUCUGAACAAAGACGACAACAAAUCAGACGCGAAACCACAAACCUCGUCCUCUAGCAACACAGCUGAACCAGGCUACACCAACAAAGCUCCACACAAAAUCCAUGAAUGAAAAUCGAAACCAAAAACUAUUAUUUUUGACUCUCUGUAUGUGUGUGCGCGACUGAAAAUUGGUAGGAAGAUGAAGGUCCAAUGGUGUGUUUAUUGUCGAUUUCCUAACCCUUUCUUUCCUUCACUCCUCUCAUAUCUCUCUCGUGUAUCUCUGCAGGUGUGUGUGUUUUUUGUGAAGGAAUUUCCAUUUUAUUGAAUGGAGUAGGUCGUUUGGAGGAAGAAAACUCCAGAGCUUUUGUUUGAAGAAGCCUAGAUGCUGGUUCUCUUUUGGAGUUAUUGCCGGAUUCAGGCGAGCUUGGUGGUAAAUGGAGGAGCUGGUGGUUGCUGGUUCAUUUGCCGGCAAGUGAAGUAGAAGGGUUUGUUGUUUUUGUUCCUUGGGGUGCUGCUGGGAGGGCUGUUGUUUUCUUGGUUAAGCAGAAGCCAUGAAAAUUGGCUCUUCUUCUUUGUAGAAGAAGAUGAGAUCGACAGAGGGGUGUGUGGUUCGGAGAAGAUGAUCUUCAGCGGGUCCCUUUUGGGCGCAGCCCCUCUUCAGGCGUAUAUCUAUCAGCGUGUCUGUGUAAUAUGUAUUGGGUCUAGGGUUUUUUAGGUGGGGGAAUGAGUUUGUGUACUGGGUCAGGUCGGGUCGAUCCAGUUUGGAGUUGGGUAGGGGCUGAUUUGGGUUGGGGUGAGUUAUAUGGAUUAGAG